RNAcentral lists this microRNA precursor (52 nucleotides) under Equus caballus (horse). Its description in RNAcentral is "mir-1302 microRNA precursor family". It matches the Rfam family "mir-1302 microRNA precursor family". The record is from Rfam by way of RNAcentral. Lineage: Eukaryota; Metazoa; Chordata; Mammalia; Perissodactyla; Equidae.
UUUCUAGUAUAAAUAUGCCCCAUGCAAUAUUUGUGACAUACUUAUACGAAAA